This is a long non-coding RNA of Musa acuminata AAA Group (dessert banana), 2001 nucleotides long. RefSeq lists it as uncharacterized. The record is from RefSeq and is a predicted model, not a curated record. The transcript has 2 exons. NCBI's taxonomy places the organism in Eukaryota, Viridiplantae, Streptophyta, Magnoliopsida, Zingiberales, Musaceae.
AGGAGGGGAUUCAAUUCCUUCAUUGGCUUACUCGACCACAUGGAGCCCAUUCCAACCCAGUCGAUGGGCAGCCGCUCGUCUACAGUAUCGGAAGACGCACCGACAGCGUCGAGGUUGUUUUCACCUGAGACUUAACCAUCACCGCGACGAUUUCGUUCAGUAUAAUUCCUCGUUUUCACCUUCUGGUAAACCCCUGCAUCAAGCCUCAGUUUUGCACUGUUCAAAUGUCCACCGACUUCAUUGUCUUUCUCUGACUGAUACCGACAGGACAACGUCUGUGACAGUGACGACUUAAAGAUCCAACGCAAGACUUACGAAUCUAUACACAAUUUUAGUUGGUCAAACUCUCCUAAUGAGGCUGUAGUUGUCAUGUUAAUCCUCUCUAGAAUGAACCUUUCAUGUUGUAUAAAUUCUAACAGCGGAUCUGCAACUAGGGAGCAGUAUACGAGACAAUUGAUAUCGGGGGGUAUGACCAGAAAUGUACAGACUACAUAUUUCAUGGAACAUUGUAUUAGUCCAAGUAUGAUAAUUCCCCUCAAAUCCGUAAUGCAGGAACAAGAAAAAGAGACUGAGCAAUCAUUCGCCUGGCGGCUUGGAAACUUCGAUUAAAGGAUGUAGCAAGACAGAGCUAACAGGGGAAGACUUCAACGUUUAGAGCUGAACACGAAACUUGUCGGUGCAUAGAAUGCCUUCGUAGGCCUGUGAGUAUGAUGCUUCUCGUUUCUCCACAAAAGAAUUAUUGAACGGAUAUCAUCCGACUAAUUCUUAGUUGCAAGUUUAAUUUCUAUAUUAAAUACAAACACGAAAAAUCUCAACGUAUUGUAUAGCAGCUGGCUGAGGAAGACUUUUGACAGCGUCGUUUUGUAGGGACUCGGACAACUAAUUUCUUCUAGUUCAUCAUUCGGAAUGCUCGCCUUGAGGAGCAAAUGUAUUGGAAUUUUUCUUGUAUUUGGUUAACCUCUAUUCAUUCUUGCUAUUCCAACUUUAAACCUCGGCUCUUCAGUGAAAAGCACGACUGGCCAUUUCAAGACUCUUAAGAUUAGAGUGGUUUACUACAUCAGCUGCCAACGACAGACUACACCAUCCAUAGCAACUAUUUUGUCUUCUUCAACGACAGUAACGUGUCAGAGUUAUUGAGAGUGAAUGCUCUAGGUAAGCGAAAGUGAACUGGAAUACCAAUUCGUAAAUCCAGAUGUUACCAAAACUUUGAUGUUCAAGAAGAAUUCUGUAGAUGAGCUGGAAUGUGGUCCUUCGGAGUAGUUCUCCACAAGCUCUCAUGGACCUUCACUUAUAACAUCUUUAUUUGGGUAGCAGUUGGGAGAAAUUUUUGACACGUCAGGUUAUCCCUACUAUCAUACGGUGAUGGCUUAUAAUUGGGGUGCACUUUUACCCUCUUUUGUCUCCCUCUGGGAUAAAGAUGGGUAAUUAUUCCAUCAGCGCUCCGUAAUGGCUGGAGUUUAAAAGGAAAGAAAGCAGCUUUUAAGUGUUGCCUAUUCCGAAAAGACUUGCGCAUUGGGUCGAGUAAGAUUAUUGCAGUUGGAGAGGGAGUAGCUCAGAAUGAGCAGCCAGGACUGAGAACCAGUGAGAGUGGUGUCCUCAAAUGUUCCUCUGACAUGAAGAAAAAGGUGUAGAGAUCCAUAUUCAUGAUGAAGUGGUAGCAGCGCCACAGGACGCUCAUAACUGUGAACAAGAGCCUCGCAAAAAAGUUUAAGCGGUGCAGUAUUCUUCAGUGGACACUGUGCCAGCCCCGUCGAACAUCUUUUAUGAGAUGCACAUCUGAUGCCAAAUUGUGGUUCGCGUGCAGACGCUGGCCAUCAAACUCAUCCUUUGAACUUAUCUUAAUGAAAAAAUAGCUGCGUUUCGGCCAAGUUCAAUGGUCAGGGCAGGAUGAUCACUAAUUAUUUGUACCGUGAGACAAGGUUUUUUUUUUUUUUAAGUACAAGAGAAUGUUCUUACAAGAAAUUAUUUUUGGAUGAAUUCCAUAAAUUUUUUUUUGCUUUU